This 85-nucleotide transfer RNA is filed under the name Candidatus Iainarchaeum sp. RNAcentral describes it as "tRNA-Leu". It matches the Rfam family "tRNA". Rfam says of the family: Transfer RNA (tRNA) molecules are approximately 80 nucleotides in length. Their secondary structure includes four short double-helical elements and three loops (D, anti-codon, and T loops). Lineage: Archaea; Nanobdellati; Candidatus Iainarchaeota; Candidatus Iainarchaeia; Candidatus Iainarchaeales; Candidatus Iainarchaeaceae. The record is from RNAcentral.
GCGGGAGUCCGAUAGCGGCCAAUUCGGCAAGGUUGAGGGCCUUGUGGCUUAGUGCCUUUCGGCGGUUCGAAUCCGCCCUCCCGCA